GAACGGGUGAGUAACACGUGGGUGAUCUGCCCUGCACUUCGGGAUAAGCUUGGGAAACUGGGUCUAAUACCGGAUAGGAGCCAUCUUUAGUGUGGUGGUUGGAAAGUUUUUCGGUGUAGGAUGAGCUCGCGGCCUAUCAGCUUGUUGGUGGGGUAAUGGCCUACCAAGGCGGCGACGGGUAGCCGGCCUGAGAGGGUGUACGGCCACAUUGGGACUGAGAUACGGCCCAG
Molecule: ribosomal RNA, 230 nt
Filed under: uncultured Actinomycetales bacterium
Lineage: Bacteria; Bacillati; Actinomycetota; Actinomycetes; Actinomycetales
Description: partial 16S ribosomal RNA
Rfam family: Bacterial small subunit ribosomal RNA
Source: RNAcentral